GCCAACUAACAGAGAACGGUAUUUUCGGUGUUUUGCGCUCGAACCACAUCUCUCGAGAUAUUUCGAGCUGAAGAUGAAUCAGAUGACGAAACGCAUAAGCAGAGAAUGAAUUUCUAAAUGGAGCAAGAAGAAAAGAAAAAGAUUUGCACCAUAAUCUUUUUUGGAACUUGCUUUGGAAGAUCCUAAUUGAUUCAGAAGGUAUGUCUAUUUACAUAAAUUGGAGAGCCGAAAAUGCAAGAGGCAUAAUAAAUUUAGCUCACCGAGAUGGCAAUCGAUAUCCAAGUCAAGCAAUUGCACUUAGAGAUAGAUGGAACGAUUAUUUCAAUACUGUUGGUGCAGUUUCUUGGCAACGAAUGAUUCAAUGAAUUAUUGGAAACAAUAAAUAAACAAUAAAUGUAACUGUUAUUAUAAUAUAUUAUAUAAUA
This is a long non-coding RNA of Pogonomyrmex barbatus (red harvester ant), 425 nucleotides long. NCBI's taxonomy places the organism in Eukaryota, Metazoa, Arthropoda, Insecta, Hymenoptera, Formicidae. The record is from RefSeq and is a predicted model, not a curated record.